RNAcentral lists this unclassified non-coding RNA (143 nucleotides) under uncultured Dothideomycetes. RNAcentral describes it as "sequence contains ITS2". Lineage: Eukaryota; Fungi; Ascomycota; Dothideomycetes. The record is from RNAcentral.
AAACCAUCAAGCCCAGCUUGGUAUUGGACGCGGUCGAGUGACCCGUCCGUAACCCGUUGGCGGUGCAGUCCGGCUUCGAGCGUAGCAGAAACCUCGCUUCAGGAGUCCGUGCGGCGCCCGCCAGGAAAUGGCCACCUUUUAAA